Molecule: ribosomal RNA, 937 nt
Filed under: uncultured bacterium
Lineage: Bacteria
Description: bacterial SSU rRNA
Rfam family: Bacterial small subunit ribosomal RNA
Source: RNAcentral
AGAGUUUGAUCCUGGCUCAGGAUGAACGCUAGCUACAGGCUUAACACAUGCAAGUCGAGGGGAAACGACAUCGAAAGCUUGCUUUUGAUGGGCGUCGACCGGCGCACGGGUGAGUAACGCGUAUCCAACCUGCCCAUCACUUGGGGAUAACCUUGCGAAAGUAAGACUAAUACCCAAUGAUAUCUCUAGAAGACAUCUGAAAGAGAUUAAAGAUUUAUCGGUGAUGGAUGGGGAUGCGUCUGAUUAGCUUGUUGGCGGGGUAACGGCCCACCAAGGCGACGAUCAGUAGGGGUUCUGAGAGGAAGGUCCCCCACAUUGGAACUGAGACACGGUCCAAACUCCUACGGGAGGCAGCAGUGAGGAAUAUUGGUCAAUGGGCGAGAGCCUGAACCAGCCAAGUAGCGUGCAGGAUGACGGCCCUAUGGGUUGUAAACUGCUUUUAUAAGGGAAUAAAGUGAGUCUCGUGAGACUUUUUGCAUGUACCUUAUGAAUAAGGACCGGCUAAUUCCGUGCCAGCAGCCGCGGUAAUACGGAAGGUCCGGGCGUUAUCCGGAUUUAUUGGGUUUAAAGGGAGCGUAGGCCGGAGAUUAAGCGUGUUGUGAAAUGUAGACGCUCAACGUCUGCACUGCAGCGCGAACUGGUUUCCUUGAGUACGCACAAAGUGGGCGGAAUUCGUGGUGUAGCGGUGAAAUGCUUAGAUAUCACGAAGAACUCCGAUUGCGAAGGCAGCUCACUGGAGCGCAACUGACGCUGAAGCUCGAAAGUGCGGGUAUCGAACAGGAUUAGAUACCCUGGUAGUCCGCACGGUAAACGAUGGAUGCCCGCUGUUGGUCUGAAUAGGUCAGCGGCCAAGCGAAAGCAUUAAGCAUCCCACCUGGGGAGUACGCCGGCAACGGUGAAACUCAAAGGAAUUGACGGAAGGGCGAAUCGCGGCCGC